CGGGAUGGACGUACCUCUGGUGUACCAGUUGUCCUGCCAAGGGCAUGGCUGGGUAGCUAUGUACGGAAUGGAUAAGCGCUGAAAGCAUCUAAGCGCGAAGCCAACUUCAAGAUAAGAUUUCCCACCGCAAGGGUAAGACCCCAGAAAGACUAUCUGGUUGAUAGGUCGAAGGUGUAAGUGCAGCAAUGUAUUUAGCUUAUCGAUACUAAUAGGUCGAGGACUUGACCAA
This 229-nucleotide ribosomal RNA is filed under the name Clostridioides difficile. RNAcentral describes it as "partial 23S ribosomal RNA". It matches the Rfam family "Bacterial large subunit ribosomal RNA", at positions 2693 to 2925 of the family's 2925-position model. Lineage: Bacteria; Bacillati; Bacillota; Clostridia; Peptostreptococcales; Peptostreptococcaceae. The record is from RNAcentral.